CUUGUACUCCCUCCGUCCGAAAAUACUUGUCAUUGAAAUGGAUGUAUAUAGAUGUAUUUUAGUUCUAGACACAUCCAUUUUGAUGACAAGUAAUUCCGGACGGAGGGAGUACUUG
Non-coding RNA from Triticum aestivum (bread wheat), 115 nucleotides. NCBI's taxonomy places the organism in Eukaryota, Viridiplantae, Streptophyta, Magnoliopsida, Poales, Poaceae. The record is from Rfam.